RNAcentral lists this transfer RNA (74 nucleotides) under Bordetella petrii. RNAcentral's name for it is "tRNA-Ser". The record is from RNAcentral. Lineage: Bacteria; Pseudomonadati; Pseudomonadota; Betaproteobacteria; Burkholderiales; Alcaligenaceae.
CGGAUUUUACUGGAUAUCCUCAUAACGGACUCAUAAUCCGUUGGUGCUCGGUUCGACUCCGAGGGGGCCUACCA